GCAGCGUUCGUUUAAUGGUAGGACCUUACCCUUCCAAGGUAAAGAUGCCCGUUCAAUUCGGGUACGCUGCUCCA
This 74-nucleotide transfer RNA is filed under the name Caudoviricetes sp. RNAcentral describes it as "tRNA-Gly". It matches the Rfam family "tRNA". Rfam says of the family: Transfer RNA (tRNA) molecules are approximately 80 nucleotides in length. Their secondary structure includes four short double-helical elements and three loops (D, anti-codon, and T loops). Further hydrogen bonds mediate the characteristic L-shaped molecular structure. tRNAs have two regions of fundamental functional importance: the anti-codon, which is responsible for specific mRNA codon recognition, and the 3' end, to which the tRNAs corresponding amino acid is attached (by aminoacyl-tRNA synthetases). tRNAs cope with the degeneracy of the genetic code in two manners: having more than one tRNA (with a specific anti-codon) for a particular amino acid; and 'wobble' base-pairing, i.e. permitting non-standard base-pairing at the 3rd anti-codon position. The record is from RNAcentral. Lineage: Duplodnaviria; Heunggongvirae; Uroviricota; Caudoviricetes.